This 304-nucleotide long non-coding RNA is filed under the name Elaeis guineensis (African oil palm). RNAcentral describes it as "long non-coding RNA (EGUI_LNC005217)". The record is from RNAcentral. Lineage: Eukaryota; Viridiplantae; Streptophyta; Magnoliopsida; Arecales; Arecaceae.
UCGAAUCUUAACAUACUAAUUGUUGGGUAUAAAAUUUUCCUUCCAACCGAAGUUCGUGUCAGGAGUGACCAUUCAGGGAUUCUACUGACGUCCGACCUUCGGCGACUUCUCUCCUGCGGUCGAGUCUCCGCAGCAUUUUCGAGUUCUACCGACGGAUAAACCCCCCACUAGCAUUCUUCACGACUGCAGGAAGAUUUCGUCCGGACUCCUACGGGAGUCGGACUUCAUCCCCGACCCCGACUGCAGGUAGACUUCGUCCGGACUCCCACGGGAGCCGGACUUCGUCCCCGACUCCAAUCGCAGG